RNAcentral lists this unclassified non-coding RNA (232 nucleotides) under uncultured Gemmatimonadota bacterium. RNAcentral describes it as "uncultured Gemmatimonadetes bacterium partial contains 16S ribosomal RNA, 16S-23S ribosomal RNA intergenic spacer, and 23S ribosomal RNA". It matches the Rfam family "Bacterial small subunit ribosomal RNA", at positions 507 to 738 of the family's 1533-position model. The record is from RNAcentral. Lineage: Bacteria; Pseudomonadati; Gemmatimonadota.
UCCAGCAGCCGCGGUAAUACGGAGGGUGCGAGCGUUGUCCGGAAUCACUGGGCGUAAAGGGCACGUAGGCGGCCGAGCAAGGUCGCGGUGAAAGCCCGGGGCUCAACCCCGGGUCGGCCGUGGCAACUACUCGGCUCGAGCACUGUAGGGGCGGGCGGAAUUCCGGGUGUAGCGGUGGAAUGCGUAGAGAUCCGGAAGAACACCGGUGGCGAAGGCGGCCCGCUGGGCAGGG